CGGGUGAGUAAUGUAUGGGGAUCUGCCUGAUGGAGGGGGAUAACUACUGGAAACGGUAGCUAAUACCGCAUAACGUCGCAAGACCAAAGAGGGGGACCUUAGGGCCUCUUGCCAUCGGAUGAACCCAUAUGGGAUUAGCUAGUAGGUGAGGUAACGGCUUACCUAGGCGACGAUCCCUAGCUGGUCUGAGAGGAUGAUCAGCCACACUGGGACUGAGACACGGCCCAG
RNAcentral lists this ribosomal RNA (228 nucleotides) under uncultured bacterium. Its description in RNAcentral is "partial 16S ribosomal RNA". It matches the Rfam family "Bacterial small subunit ribosomal RNA", at positions 103 to 334 of the family's 1533-position model. The record is from RNAcentral.